GGCGCACGUGAUAGGUCCCCAUUUCGAUUCACCCUACCUCUGUUCGUAGAGUCUUCGGGCUAUCUCAGAUCCAGAUCGAGCGUUCUCCUUGGAAUCGUCCCCGAAUUUUGUAUCCUUCUCUCAUCGUCAUCUCGGUCAUCGUUAUCCUUCUCCCCCAAUUUGACUCAGCUCCUCGAAUUGGAUUCACCUCCCCGAUUCGUGAAUGAGAAGGUGUUGACCCAUCGCGAUUUCGAAUAAGUCAAUCGAUUGGCGGCGGCGCAUUCUUUGGGCAGAGAUUGAAUCUCAUGUGCAACCUGGAUCUGUAUCAGUAUAUGUUCGUUAUGGACAAAGUAGACCAAAGGAUGCAAAUCUUUUAGCUCAAGCCCAUGUUGUGAUCCCACUACAUAUGGAGUUUUAGCAUCGAUCAGAAUUUUCUAUAGAGGAAUUGGUGACUGAAGAUAAUCGUGCUAAACCAACCAGAGUUGCAGUUGAUAAUGCCUCGGGCAGGAAAGCCAGUUUGAUUAAGUUUUGCCGUAGAUGGUGCAAGUUUGCUAGAGGUGGUUCAGGUUUUGAAUUAUUUAAGUCUCAUUAUAAGAAGGCUUACAUUUCUUCAGAUGGGGAUUAGUUCAUGGCUGUGUUUCAUGUUACUGAUUAAUUAAUAGGGGAAUAGGCUCUUUGAUGAUGGAAUAGCUGAAGGCAUUCAACAGGUUAUGUGGUUGGACUGCUAUAAGAAGAUUAUAUGGUUCGCGUGGAAUAAAUGUUUCAUGUUACUGAUUAAUAGGGGAAUAAGGUCCGUGAUGAUGGAAUAGCUGAAUGCAUUCAAAAGGUUAAUAUUCAAAUUUAAUCCCUUUUUCAUUCAAUUUAUGAAACAUAAUGUCUAAUUUACAAUGAAGAGACCUUAACCAAGCUGGGUCCCUCCUACCAAGUCGAGUCCGUGUACAUAUCUCAAUUUUUUCCCUUUAAUUGCUCUUAAUUACUUUAAGGCUUGCGUCCCAAAAUUUAGUUCACUAUAUUUGAUUCACACAUUUAAUUUACUUUAUCCCCAUUUAUGACAAGGUUUUGUUACUCCUAUACUAAAGAUCCAGCAAGUUCAGUCGAACUUUUAUGAUUAAGCAAAAAGCUUUCUACCCUCAUUUACAUAGUAACAAGUGUCGAACGCAUAGUAACAAGUAUAGAAACUGUAUAUAUUGGAUUUAAAUUAAACGUGAAUACACACAAUUUGUAGUGUGGUUAGCUCAACAAAACGAACAUAAAUAAAGAAUGUUUCUUUUCAAUAUUAUAUUAGCUGUUCAUUCAUUUAAUAUUCAUGCUAUUUCAUUAUGGUAUAAUCUCCUCUGUUUAUUCUCUCAGUUUCUUGAGCCUUUAAGCUUGGUGAGUUAUGGUUUCUGUGCAUAAAAAGAUUAGCGCAGGCAAAUCGUACAUCAUCCUCUUGGCUUCUUGCUGCUGCAUAAUCAAUCCAAGUCAGCUUUCGACUUCCAAGUAGUCAAAUUUCUAAUUUUUCUGUGCAUAAGCUUCAUUAAAAAAGUGUUCAGCUUUUGCAUAUUUCAACUUGACUUCCUAAAUCUCAGUAUUAGUGUGUUUUUGAGUUUUGAUUGCUGGAUUUGAGUCGAUGGAUGAAGCUUCAUCUGAGCUCUAGGAUAACAUGAAUGAUAUCAUGGAAACAAAUGAAGAUCAAGCAUGUUGCCUCUGAGAGUGAGACAUUGUAAUGUGUGUGAAGAAUUUUCAUUUUUGAAAGUGUGUCAACUUGCAUGUUCGGUUAGAAUACAGGCUUUUGUAAUAUGUAUAAACUUCAUAACAUCUUUGGUUAACGUUUUGAUCAGUAAUGAUUGUCAAAAAAACUUAUGAUUGUUACUUUAUCGUGUACAAAUACAAAUUUAAGUAGGGGAAUUAGUCCCUUUUUCAUCCAA
Long non-coding RNA from Rosa rugosa (rugosa rose), 1886 nucleotides. RefSeq lists it as uncharacterized. Lineage: Eukaryota; Viridiplantae; Streptophyta; Magnoliopsida; Rosales; Rosaceae. The transcript has 8 exons. The record is from RefSeq and is a predicted model, not a curated record.